Molecule: ribosomal RNA, 301 nt
Filed under: uncultured bacterium
Lineage: Bacteria
Description: partial 16S ribosomal RNA
Rfam family: Bacterial small subunit ribosomal RNA
Source: RNAcentral
CAGUAGCCGCGGUAAUACGUAGGGUGCGAGCGUUAAUUGGAAUUACUGGGCGUAAAGCGUGCGCAGGCGGUGCUGCAAGACCGAUGUGAAAGCCCCGGGCUUAACCUGGGAACUGCAUUGGUGACUGCAGCGCUGGAGUAUGGCAGAGGGGGGUGGAAUUCCACGUGUAGCAGUGAAAUGCGUAGAGAUGUGGAGGAACACCGAUGGCGAAGGCAGCCCCCUGGGCCAAUACUGACGCUCAUGCACGAAAGCGUGGGGAGCAAACAGGAUUAGAUACCCCCGUAGUCCCUGUCUCUUAUAA